RNAcentral lists this ribosomal RNA (301 nucleotides) under uncultured bacterium. RNAcentral describes it as "partial 16S ribosomal RNA". It matches the Rfam family "Bacterial small subunit ribosomal RNA", at positions 509 to 807 of the family's 1533-position model. The record is from RNAcentral.
CAGCCGCCGCGGUAAUACGAAGGGGGCUAGCGUUGCUCGGAAUCACUGGGCGUAAAGGGUGCGUAGGCGGGUCUUUAAGUCAGGGGUGAAAUCCUGGAGCUCAACUCCAGAACUGCCUUUGAUACUGAAGAUCUUGAGUUCGGGAGAGGUGAGUGGAACUGCGAGUGUAGAGGUGAUAUUCGUGGAUAUUCGCAAGAACACCAGUGGCGAAGGCGGCUCACUGGCCCGAUACUGACGCUGAGGCACGAAAGCGUGGGGAGCAAACAGGAUUAGAUACCCCCGUAGUCCCUGUCUCUUAUAC